RNAcentral lists this long non-coding RNA (450 nucleotides) under Nicotiana tabacum (common tobacco). RNAcentral's name for it is "long non-coding RNA (NTAB_LNC016567)". The record is from RNAcentral. Lineage: Eukaryota; Viridiplantae; Streptophyta; Magnoliopsida; Solanales; Solanaceae.
UCUAAUUAAAUAAAGAUAAACUCUUUUAAGCAAUUCAUCAAACACCUUGUAUGCGUGCUUUUGUGAGUUAAACCACUUUAGUAAAGGGUUAUAUCAACUCACCUCAAAACUUCUCGAGUCAAUACGUAGGCCCCAGUCCAAUUGACACCAGUCAAACAAUCGAUUCUACAACAACCAGUGCAUUUUAAUCAAUUUCAAAGUACUACACCUAAUUAUGAAAUUUAUUGAUGAUAUAGAGGAAGAAGGGUAUUAGCUAUUUAAUUCUUACAUAUUACUACUGUAGGGUAAUUGACAAUAGGAGAUUUUACAUACCUGAGUUCAAGAAUAAGUGAGUUAUGAGAACCCUAGGAUUUUUAUUCGUUGCCUGUGUGCUCUGGUUCGUGAGCGAACAGAACUCAGUGUUCUGUUUUUCGUCUAAGGCAGGCAAAAGUCUUUACCCUUUUUGAAGAA